Molecule: non-coding RNA, 92 nt
Organism: Roridomyces roridus
Lineage: Eukaryota; Fungi; Basidiomycota; Agaricomycetes; Agaricales; Mycenaceae
Source: the annotation of a GenBank genome assembly
CCGACUCUAGCUCAGUUGGAAGAGCAUCAGACUGUAAUUGGAAACCCUCCUCGCAACAUUGGGUGUUACCCGUUCGAUCCGGGUGAGUCGGA